UACGUAGGUGGCGAGCGUUGUCCGGAAUUAUUGGGCGUAAAGAGCAUGUAGGCGGCUUAAUAAGUCGAGCGUGAAAAUGCGGGGCUCAACCCCGUAUGGCGCUGGAAACUGUUAGGCUUGAGUGCAGGAGAGGAAAGGGGAAUUCCCAGUGUAGCGGUGAAAUGCGUAGAUAUUGGGAGGAACACCAGUGGCGAAGGCGUCUUUCUGGACUGUGUCUGACGCUGAGAUGCGAAAGCCAGGGUAGCGAACGGG
RNAcentral lists this ribosomal RNA (252 nucleotides) under Phascolarctobacterium faecium. RNAcentral's name for it is "partial 16S ribosomal RNA". It matches the Rfam family "Bacterial small subunit ribosomal RNA", at positions 524 to 776 of the family's 1533-position model. The record is from RNAcentral. Lineage: Bacteria; Bacillati; Bacillota; Negativicutes; Acidaminococcales; Acidaminococcaceae.